GACGUAGGGCGCGAGCGUUGUCCGGAUUUAUUGGGCGUAAAGAGCUCGUAGGCGGCUUGUCGCGUCGUUCGUGAAAACCCACAGCUCAACUGUGGGCUUGCGGUCGAUACGGGCAGGCUAGAGUUCGGUAGGGGAGACUGGAAUUCCUGGUGUAGCGGUGAAAUGCGCAGAUAUCGGGAGGAACACCAGUGGCGAAGGCGACUACCUGGCCUGUUCUUGACGCUGAGGCGCGAAAGCUAGGGGAGCAAACGGG
This 253-nucleotide ribosomal RNA is filed under the name uncultured bacterium. Its description in RNAcentral is "partial 16S ribosomal RNA". It matches the Rfam family "Bacterial small subunit ribosomal RNA", at positions 524 to 776 of the family's 1533-position model. The record is from RNAcentral.